CAGGCGAGAGGAUGGGAAUACCAGCAGCACAGAUGAGUGGGUCACCCAAGUUAUUGCGGCCCUCAGCUGAGAACCUUCCAAUUAUCAUGUCAGGCAUGGAGGAAACAUACACCAGUCUCAGAGCCUGGAAUAUUCGGAGAGUACCCACGGUUUUUGGACAUGCCAAGUCUGGCUGGACUUGGAGUUUGGCAAUCUUACAGGAGGAAAGGUGGACCUCUUUUUGCGAAAAUGGGAAGCCAGUAGGGCUGCCACAAACGAUUAUUUUGAUAGUCGACUAGUCACCGAUUAUUUAUGCGAUUAGUCGACUAAUCAGAUCAUCAUCCACUGGACAUAAAACUACAGCUUAUUGCACCAGCAGCAUCUGCUCUUAUAUAACUAUCAUUAGCUUACAGCUUUAAGCUUUUAAGGUGCUAACUAAAAAUAAAGACAAGAUGAUAGUUUAUUCAAUUUUAAUGAAAUUUGCAGAUUGUUUCGGUAAAGUUUAAUAAACUCCUUGCUAUCUAAAAUAUAACAGGACACCGGAGUAUAUUCUCCAGCAUCUCACACUUCUGAUGAUCAGCUGUCUGCUUGACGUUUAUUCAGCUGUGUAAAAACUAUAACUUUAAUCUCAGCCAAACCGAUUUACUCAGGAACAAAUAAAAUACUAAAAAAAAAAAAAAAAAAAAACAAGCCAAACAACAACAUUUUUAAUUUAUCUAAGUGACUCAUAUAUAUUUAACCUGAGUCGCGAAAGACGGCGGUGGGUUUGAAAACAAUUUGCCGGGAGUCCGGUGUUCUCACGGCGCUAGUGACCUAGCCCCCGGCUAGCUAUCGAGCUAGUGGGUAACAGACGUCUCCGAAAACGUCGGAGCGCUUUUGAAAAUAUGUGGUGUCUUGAUAAACUGAGCAGAUAUUUGAGGUUUACACAGCUACAUUCUCGCCUGAAAAUAUGUUAAAUGUUUAUUUUGUGACCCAGAAAGAAUAAUAAGAGUAAUAUUAAAACUAACUAGCUACCGCCAUUGUUGGAAACUAAGCUGGGCCGCGCUAUGAAUUCUGGGACACAGCUGCUUCUUCUUCUUCUUCGGGGUUUAACGGCAGCUGGCAUCCUUGUACAUGCUGUGCUGCCAUCUUCUGUUUCAGUCCGUUAUUACACUCUUAAAUCCUGCUAUUAUUCCUGCGUCUUUUGCGAUCUUACAAAGCUUCAAACGACACGUCGACUAUUAAAUCAGUCGUCGACGAUUUUGAUAGUCGACGUAAUCGUGACUAGUCGACAAAUCGUGGCAGCCCUAGAAGCCAGUAUCAUUCCGAAGCUCAAAUUAGUAGCUGCCCUGGAAACAAGAACCCCCCCGCCAUGUGUUAACACACCUACUCCCACCAGUUGGUGCCAGUCGUUGCAGCCUUUUUUGCACUGCCUGGAACAAGUAUUGCAUCGCUUUGCAGUGAUCCUGAAGCAUCAUCCACAACACACCAACCCCAGCUGAUAUGCAUCGGUGAUCUAAAGAGGGCAACCAGGCAGUACAUCAUUGUUGCUAAGAAUGACAGAGUAACCAUUUCUCUGAAUGAUGGCCUGACGUGUGCUGUGGAUAAGCUUUUCAAACUGUACUGGGUAUGUAACUUGUCCUAUCCAGCACCACUUGGCUCCGUCUUCACCUUCUUUGAGUUUGUCUAUGACCUGCCGCUGUCCACCCAAAGGAAAACCAAAGUACUGGAGCUGAUUGCACAGAUUAAAGGAUGCAAGUAAAAUGUUCACCUGUCCAAAAUGUAGAGAGUCUCUGUUCACAGAGGUGAGAAACCUCAUUUGGCAUCUUUGUCAAAUACACUGCUUAUCAGGACUGACCAUUUUUAUGCCUAUGCAGUGGAAAGGUCAGACAAUAUGAACUGAUUGGCU
Molecule: long non-coding RNA, 1867 nt
Organism: Astatotilapia calliptera (eastern happy)
Lineage: Eukaryota; Metazoa; Chordata; Actinopteri; Cichliformes; Cichlidae
Source: Ensembl